This is a long non-coding RNA of Chenopodium quinoa (quinoa), 1033 nucleotides long. RefSeq lists it as uncharacterized. The transcript has 3 exons. The record is from RefSeq and is a predicted model, not a curated record. NCBI's taxonomy places the organism in Eukaryota, Viridiplantae, Streptophyta, Magnoliopsida, Caryophyllales, Amaranthaceae.
AUACACUCAUAAGGUAUUGAGAUUGUAUAAUCUUCGGAUUUAAUCAUUAUACACUCAUCUAAUCACAUGAUAAUGAGAUAAUUGAAUUUUAAUUUUUAAUCAAUCUUGUCCACCCAUGAUUGAUUACCCAAUUCACAACACAUUUGUCUCCAUCUCUUGAUUCAUAUCUAUUAGAAAACAUUUAAAUUCCCCUUUUUUUUCAUCCAAAAUUUAAAUUUUACAUACAAUUAUCAACAGAUUUCAUUUGCAAAACAUUUGUAUUUUUAUUAAUUAAUAGGACAAUCCUUUACAAAAUACUUACAAAACAUACAAAAACUACACACUAAUCCUACCUAAGAAGUUAUUUCAACCUUUCCUUCACAGGAAAAAAAAAGUUAUUUCAACAUAAACUCCAAAAAAAGAAUUAUUCCUUUAUUAAAAAAAAAAGAAGUUAUUUCAACAUAAACUUACAAAACUACCCACUCAUUUCAUCAAUCAGUCUUGUCAAAGGCAAAUUAAAACCGUCAUUCUCCAUUUUCGAAUUUCACUCAAAAUAAAAAUAUAAAUAUAUAAAACCUCAAAAACUCUAAUCCAUUCCCAAAAAACUCAAACAUUUUUCUCCUUCAACAUGGUUAAAAUUACGGAACUUUCGGAUGAAGAUGACGUCUCCAUCAUUGAUGGUGCACUAAAUCAACCACAACCAAAGAACAACGAAGAGGAGCAUGCCAUCGAAGAGGAUGUUCAUCGUUAAGGGAAGCGUCCUUUAGAGUGCGAUGAAGACGAUGGAUCAUCAUCAUCUUCAGCAAAGCGGCAAAAGGUGUUUAAUCGUCUUAAAUUUUCAAGCACCAAUUUUUUAUGUUUAUGUUUACAUUGUGCGAAAAUAGAAACAACAUGUGACAGAGAAAAAGAUUUAUUUUUGAUUUUUUGUUUUUUUUUUAACAUAACUUUGUUUAUUAAUUACAACUGCGUUAUUAGCAACAACUUAGUACCAAAAAAAAAGGGGUGAAUUGAUUAGUUUAAUCACUAUUCACUCUUCUCACACAUAUAUAUUAUU